This is a non-coding RNA of Micromonospora coxensis, 82 nucleotides long. The record is from Rfam. Lineage: Bacteria; Bacillati; Actinomycetota; Actinomycetes; Micromonosporales; Micromonosporaceae.
CCGGUGGUACGCGACUGGCGGCACGGGGAUGGGUGAACCAUCGGGGAGCUCGUCGCGGGGGUCGACCGCCUGGGCCUCCGUG